AGCUUUGCGCAGUGGCAGUAUCGUAGCCAAUGAGGUUUAACCGAGGUGCGAUUAUUGCUAAUUGAAAUGUAAAUAAGAAAUAACCAUAUAAUAAAAUUGGAGGAAGAAAAAGAAUAGAAUGAUUUGCAUUCUUAUACAUACUGACCUCCUGUUGAACCAGC
Small nuclear RNA from Rattus norvegicus (Norway rat), 161 nucleotides. Ensembl annotates it as U4 spliceosomal RNA. Lineage: Eukaryota; Metazoa; Chordata; Mammalia; Rodentia; Muridae. The record is from Ensembl.